Molecule: long non-coding RNA, 2234 nt
Organism: Calidris pygmaea (Spoon-billed sandpiper)
Lineage: Eukaryota; Metazoa; Chordata; Aves; Charadriiformes; Scolopacidae
Source: Ensembl
GCAGCCAGACGGGAUGCAGCUUCCACUCACGGAGCUCAGCCCGCAGCUCUUGUCCUUCCCAGUCCUGGGUUCGUUUUCACCAUCCACUUCUCUCAGGUCAAAUACGCAGAGACGACAGAGAGCAGGAAGACUGUCGUGGUUUCAGCUAAAUUUACCAAAACCAGACUGACAGAUGGCCCUUCCCACCCUCCCAAAAGAGAGGAGAGGAAGAGAUCAGGAGAUUUAUAAGUUUAGAAUGAACUAAGCUACUUAUAUGAAGAAUUAAUAUUAAAAUCAGAAAGAAGAAAAUAAUGAAUCAUAGAAUCAUACGGGGUUGGAAAGGACCGCUGGGGAUCCUCCAGUCCAACCCCCCCGCCAAAGCGGGUUUACCUAGACCAGGCUGCACAGGAACUUGUCCAGACAGAUGAAGACCCAAAUCUUGCUAUUCCAGUGGAUAGUCAUGCGGAUCUUUUUUGUAUCUAUGUAGGUAAGGAAAGGGACCUUCCUAUAUAGUUGGGCUAUGGUGCGCGCUCGUUUAUUUCCUGGUGUGUGUGAUGUGUCUUGUGUACUGAUUGCAUUUGCCCAUUCCAGAAGUGCCCAUUCCACUCCUCACUUGUUGGAGAAGGAUAAAAUAUUUGCUAAGCUGCUGUAAACCUUCAUCUGCAGCCCUUGUAGCCCUAAACGUGCCUCCCCUCUGAAUAGAUUCCCGUCUUUUGCCCGUCCGUUUCUGGACACACAACCUGAGAAUACCCACAGCCACUGUCAGGAUGUGGGAUGAGCUCCAAGCUGUUAAGAAGAUCACACCAUUUGUGAACUUGUGGAUCAUCUUCUGGGACUUUAGGUUUUGCCAAUUUGCAGACAAUUAUGAGUCCUGACUGCAUCAUGCUGAGCAGCAGACAGCUCUUUCCUGUUCCUGAAACGCUGUCUGGUGGAAAAAGUGUUGGAUGGUAGUAGCCCUACUUAAGGCAUUCUGGACAUGUUGAGAACACCACCGAUAAAUCUAAUUUUUAUUGUGACAGUGAGACAGCUGCAAUUUGGAGCAGCUCCUGAAGGCUGCAGCUGUGGAUCCCAAGCAAGCAGAUUCGUUUCCCUGCCACCCCAACUCAACAGCGAGAUAAGACUCUUCUGUGUCCUCAGGACAGUUUGUGGGGGCUACCACAGAUCCUGUGGAUUCAGUGCAACAUUGCUUAUGAGUCUCAUUCUCAGAUGCCUAAUUCUCCAAGGUUCAAUUCUUCAGGUUCAAUUCUGGAGCUAGGCAUUUAAGUGAAGCAUGUAGUUAUAAUCUCUUUCUGGUUAUCCAGGAGCCACUAACUUUGGCAAUGGCAUUUUUCACUUUACUGGACUGUGAGUUUCUUGCUUGCUUGUAGUGGCUCAUAUUUUUUCACAACCACACUGGGUGAAGUAUGAAAAUGAGUGAUAAUUUGGGGAUUUUUUUUUUUUUUUGACCUGAAAAAUGCUUUCGUUAAAUGGACAGCAAGGUGACCUGAAUGACACUGAUCUGGAUGAACUCAUACAGUGAAGCUAGCAGCAUUAGUGUUGUCUCCAUUUUUCUCUGGGAUGAUGACAUUGUUACUAAGUAAUGGAAGAAACGCUUCAGGCUUUCCUCUUACUGCAACAGAUUAAACCUUUCUUCCAGAUGUAAUCACGUACAUUUUGGUGAAGUCACCGACAAAGUAGAAUUCAGUUGAGCAAGUUUGAAGAUGAUGCUCUGGUGAGACCAUUAAUUGUUAUUUCAUUGGCCUUUUCAGGAUGCUUAAAACCACCUUCACACUGAAGACCUUAAGAGGACCAUCAUGUGUAGCACAGUGUUGUGCUAAAUUUUUGACACCCGUGUGGUUAAAUCUGAAUCACAGGUCUGCUACCUACUGCCUUUUCACCCAACAUGUGUUAAAAAUAGCCACUGAAGAAGGAAAAUAGAUGUUCACUUUUAAUGACCAGUGGUCCUUCCCAAGAACUUGACCAAGAAAAGUUCCCUGCACUCUGGCGAAGGGGCACACAGACAUAUUUCUUGGAUUGAUUGUGGCUGGUGCACAGAAGGAGUCCCAAAAGAUGUAAUGCUUCACUGAUAGAGGUGUUGACUUAUCCUUCAACAACAGCUUAGAAAUUUUUGCAACUUCUCUACUUAAAUAAGUCAGUCAAGGAAGGAGCUUGCUACUGUAUAACAUAUGGAGUUGUCAGUAGUUUUUAUCUUUGAAACUGCUAUUAAUAUCUUUUGGGAAAAGGAAAGGCAGCACACACAAAGAAGGCAGCAGAGC